AACGGGGGGAGUGAGCGUUAUUCAUCUUGACUGGGCGUAAAGGGUGUGUAGGUGGUUUUUAAAGUUUAAGUUAAAAAAUCUGGGCGUAACUCAGAAAUUAACUUUCAUACUAGAAAACUAGAGGGCAAAAGAGGUUCGUUGUAUUUUUAGUGGAAAAGUGAAAUUUAGAGAUAUUAAGAGGACACCCAUUAGGCGAAGGCAACAAGCCAUUAUGUUACUGACACUGAGACACAAAAGCGUGGGGAUCAAACAGG
This 254-nucleotide unclassified non-coding RNA is filed under the name uncultured bacterium. RNAcentral's name for it is "contains 16S-23S intergenic spacer region". It matches the Rfam family "Bacterial small subunit ribosomal RNA", at positions 524 to 776 of the family's 1533-position model. The record is from RNAcentral.